RNAcentral lists this long non-coding RNA (996 nucleotides) under Cicer arietinum (chickpea). Its description in RNAcentral is "long non-coding RNA (CARI_LNC001127)". Lineage: Eukaryota; Viridiplantae; Streptophyta; Magnoliopsida; Fabales; Fabaceae. The record is from RNAcentral.
UCACUUAUGAGACUUUAGAGCAUCUCAUACCUGUUUAGCAGUAUUAUUGUUGGAACUGUAGUAAUCAUACAGAUCAUCAGCAAAUCUAUUCAGAAUAUAAUUCUUACAUAAGUAAUUAUUAUGCUCCCAUUUGGUUAAUUCAACAGCUUUCUUAUCAUUUUUUGUUUGGUCAGUUGUUUAUGGAACAACGGGAAUGUCAUAUUUUAGAACGUUGACAACCUUUUUCAUAGUUAAGAAAAAUAAAAUCUUUUGUUACAAUCAUUUGAAGUGACAUCCCUUAAACUAAAAUGGUUUGUUGAAAUCAAAAGUAGAAUAACCUAUCCAAGUAAUUUUUGUCGAUACACAUGGCAAAAGGAAAUGUAUUAAAAUUGUUAUUUUUGAGUUUCGAAAAACUUUUAAAAAUAAAUUUAUGUCACCGAAAAUAUUAUUAGGUUGAGUCAUGAACUAAAUCGCUCACUUUAAGACAUUUCAAUCAUUGCCCAAAUUGUGUAAGACAGAUUGUCAAUCACGAAGUCUCCAGGAUAAAACAGCUCAUAUACACUAUAUCGGAGUUCUAAUGUACCGUAGAAAAUUAUUCUAGAAUUACACCCUCAAUAUGGCAGUUAGAUGGCUGCCACUCGUAAUAUGGUACUACGACCACUCGAAAGGAAGAGAAGAAUAAGUGAGAAAGAGUGGGGGAGAAGGAGAGAAAAGCCUCAUAUUCGGAGAGAUUUUGGUGUGUUUUUCCAACUUAGGAGAACCCUCUAUUUAUAGAGGAAAUCUGCAACCAGAUUAGAGAAAAAAAUGUGAUCCAUUAUGUCAGAUUCACAGAAACGUGUGCUCCUAAUUUUACUAGGUUUUUGACCAGACAAUAAACAUAUGCAUGAGUCCAAAAAUUACGGUUUGAUCGGGCACACAGAUGCGCGGAUUCAGGAAGGAAAACUGAAUCAGAUGUUAAAUGUUGACUCGGUGGAGAGAAAUUAUGUAAUCAAUGUAUCAGUGAAAUAAAAAUGCAUG